Molecule: ribosomal RNA, 492 nt
Filed under: uncultured bacterium
Lineage: Bacteria
Description: partial 16S ribosomal RNA
Rfam family: Bacterial small subunit ribosomal RNA
Source: RNAcentral
AGUGAACGCUGGCGGUAGGCCUAACACGUGCAAGUCGAACGGCAGCACAGUAAGAGCUUGCUCUUACGGGUGGCGAGUGGCGGACGGGUGAGGAAUACAUCGGAAUCUACUUUUUCGUGGGGGAUAACGUAGGGAAACUUACGCUAAUACCGCAUACGACCUACGGGUGAAAGCAGGGGAUCUUCGGACCUUGCGCGGUUGAAUGAGCCGAUGUCGGAUUAGCUAGUUGGCGGGGUAAAGGCCCACCAAGGCGACGAUCCGUAGCUGGUCUGAGAGGAUGAUCAGCCACACUGGAACUGAGACACGGUCCAGACUCCUACGGGAGGCAGCAGUGGGGAAUAUUGGACAAUGGGCGCAAGCCUGAUCCAGCCAUACCGCGUGGGUGAAGAAGGCCUUCGGGUUGUAAAGCCCUUUUGUUGGGAAAGAAAAGCAGCAGGUUAAUACCCCGCUGUUCUGACGGUACCCAAAGAAUAAGCACCGGCUAACUUCGUG